UGUAGCUAGUUGGUGAGGUAACGGCUCACCAAGGCGACGAUGCGUAGCCGACCUGAGAGGGUGAUCGGCCACACUGGGACUGAGACACGGCCCAGACUCCUACGGGAGGCAGCAGUAGGGAAUCUUCCGCAAUGGACGAAAGUCUGACGGAGCAACGCCGCGUGAGUGAUGAAGGUUUUCGGAUCGUAAAGCUCUGUUGUUAGGGAAGAACAAGUGCCGUUCAAAUAGGGCGGCACCUUGACGGUACCUAACCAGAAAGCCACGGCUAACUACGUGCCAGCAGCCGCGGUAAUACGUAGGUGGCAAGCGUUGUCCGGAAUUAUUGGGCGUAAAGGGCUCGCAGGCGGUUUCUUAAGUCUGAUGUGAAAGCCCCCGGCUCAACCGGGGAGGGUCAUUGGAAACUGGGGAACUUGAGUGCAGAAGAGGAGAGUGGAAUUCCACGUGUAGCGGUGAAAUGCGUAGAGAUGUGGAGGAACACCAGUGGCGAAGGCGACUCUCUGGUCUGUAACUGACGCUGAGGAGCGAAAGCGUGGGGAGCGAACAGGAUUAGAUACCCUGGUAGUCCACGCCGUAAACGAUGA
RNAcentral lists this ribosomal RNA (581 nucleotides) under Bacillus subtilis. Its description in RNAcentral is "bacterial SSU rRNA". It matches the Rfam family "Bacterial small subunit ribosomal RNA", at positions 240 to 812 of the family's 1533-position model. The record is from RNAcentral. Lineage: Bacteria; Bacillati; Bacillota; Bacilli; Caryophanales; Bacillaceae.